Molecule: long non-coding RNA, 1250 nt
Filed under: Numida meleagris (helmeted guineafowl)
Lineage: Eukaryota; Metazoa; Chordata; Aves; Galliformes; Numididae
Description: lncRNA (ENSNMEG00000009828.1)
Source: RNAcentral
CCCACAGACCAGGACUUCAUUUAAGCUCAGACCUGGCACCUGGCCUUGGCUUGAGCUCCAUCAGAAGCUCAUUUCUCCAUCAGAAGCUCAUUUCUGUCUGCUGCUCCUCUUGCUUAUUGAGUGGUUUUCCCAGGUCACCUCCAAAGCAGUGCUGUUUCUGGCUUUGGUUCCAGCCCUUUUUCUGGCUAUGCAUCUAGGCUGGACCUUAGGCCUGCACUGGAACCCUGUUUCCUGCUUCUAACUGGAGUCUUUCAUCACCUUGCCUCAUCCAGAGAAGUCAACAGGACCUGCUGGCAUCCUGAAACAGAAUUUGCUCUAUUGGUAGUGAGGAGUUGGCUUUAAGGCCACCUCUUGCUGCAACGUUUUUCUUCUGAGGCUCAGCUUCCACUUCCGUAUGGUUUCUAGACCUAAGAGUUACUAAUGAAAGAAAGCAAUGUGCAGAACAAUGCUGUCAGCUAUGCAAAACCCCCAAUGCUUCCACAGACGUUUAAUUGAACAGGUUCUUGGGUCCAGCUUAGCACAGGAUGCUGCUGCACGGGGAGAAGUGCUUGCCCCACCUCACUUCAGGAUGCUUAUCUGGAUGAUGGUGAGGGGAAGGCCGCUGACUGGGAUGAACCACUCUCCUGUCCAUUGAUUUGGAGUGUUUUGCAGCCUCUGGAAUGGUGCAUGGUGGAAGAGGAUUGAGGCCAUGUAGCCCAUUCUUCUGCACUGAGAUGAAAACAGCCACACUAAUCUUUUUUGAUGAUUCCCAGUGAAGGAGAUCCUACAAGCACCUUGGCAAGUGAUUCCAGUGUAUUCUUACCACUGUUAUUUGCUUGUUUUUCCUCAUAUCCAAAUAUUUUUCGCGGAAAUUUAAAUGCCCUACUUUUGCCCUGCCUUGCCCUACCCUGCCCUGCCCAUCAUGGGGAACAAAUUAUGUCCAUCCUCUGAAGGCUGAACAUCUUCUCUCUGAAUUCUUUGUAAUAUAGUCCAUGAGCUUCUUGGUGUGCAUUGCCCACAAUUGAAAAUACAUCAGUUGUGACCUUAUUGGUGUAGAGGGCAGCUCAGAAUGUAUUUUGGUUUAUACACUGCAGUGUGGUAUCUGCAUUUGCACAACAGCAUAGUCUCUUUUGCUUUGAUUCUGCCUGACUUCCUAGCACUGCUCCUGGGGGGGCAGCCCCGUACUGCCCUCUCUGUGCUUAUAUACCUUCUUUCAUGACAGUUAUGACAGAAGCAAACAUUAGUUUGAACCAGGACUUGCCUGUUGGUUU